UGCAGCCAUGAUGAACUCUAAAUAAAUGUGUGCAUACCAAUGCAAUACAACCCAUUUAAUCACAUAAUACUCACUUGAAGCUUACUUGAGUCUCCACAGCAUCACAUAAUACAAUUCACAAGUGUAACAAUGCAAUAUUUAAAAUGUAACUUAUUUACGACAUGGCAAGCAAAGCAUAGCUCCAUAUAAAAACAUUUUUGAAAACCGUAAAGCUUACAUAUACACUAUAAAAAAGAAAAAGACCCAUUCACCCGAGGUCCGCAUUACAACUCCCUAGCAUAAAUAUCGAGGCAUCAUAAAUGA
RNAcentral lists this long non-coding RNA (303 nucleotides) under Malus domestica (apple). RNAcentral describes it as "long non-coding RNA (MDOM_LNC008181)". Lineage: Eukaryota; Viridiplantae; Streptophyta; Magnoliopsida; Rosales; Rosaceae. The record is from RNAcentral.